AGUGAACGCUGGCGGUAGGCCUAACACAUGCAAGUCGAACGGCAGCACAGUAAGAGCUUGCUCUUACGGGUGGCGAGUGGCGGACGGGUGAGGAAUACAUCGGAAUCUACUUUUUCGUGGGGGAUAACGUAGGGAAACUUACGCUAAUACCGCAUACGACCUACGGGUGAAAGCAGGGGAUCUUCGGACCUUGCGCGAUUGAAUGAGCCGAUGUCGGAUUAGCUAGUUGGCGGGGUAAAGGCCCACCAAGGCGACGAUCCGUAGCUGGUCUGAGAGGAUGAUCAGCUACACUGGAACUGAGACACGGUCCAGACUCCUACGGGAGGCAGCAGUGGGGAAUAUUGGACAAUGGGCGCAAGCCUGAUCCAGCCAUACCGCGUGGGUGAAGAAGGCCUUCGGGUUGUAAAGCCCUUUUGUUGGGAAAGAAAAGCAGCAGGUUAACACCCCGCUGUUCUGACGGUACCCAAAGAAUAAGCACCGGCUAACUUCGUG
This 492-nucleotide ribosomal RNA is filed under the name uncultured bacterium. RNAcentral's name for it is "partial 16S ribosomal RNA". It matches the Rfam family "Bacterial small subunit ribosomal RNA", at positions 29 to 507 of the family's 1533-position model. The record is from RNAcentral.